UAAAAUUUCAUGAUGCACGGAUAUUAAUAAUAAUAAAUAUAAUAUGUUGAAUGAAUAGGUGAAGUGAGUAAAAUAUAUGAGUGUGGAUGUGAUGUAACAGGGAGGGAGAUUGUGAGCUAUGAAAUUCCGAAGCCUGUGAUAGGAAUCCACAGGUAUGUGUUCUUAUUGUUCAAGCAAAAAGCAAGGCAAUCAGUGAGGACACCUGUUUCCAGAGAUCAAUUUAACACUCGGUUAUUCUCUCAAGAAAAUGAGCUAGGCUUACCAGUUGCUGCUGUCUACUUCAAUGCUCAAAGAGAAAAUGCUGCACGUAGAAGAUAACUCUACUUCAUACACGCAUAUACUCUGUUUGUCUGUCUGCAUGUACUCAAAACAAACCAAUAAAACCUUUACUCUAUAGUUUCAUAUUGCAUUAUACUUAUUUUAACUUGUUUAUGAAAUGUAUUUUAGUUUCAUAUUUUAAGUGUAUUUGUGUCAUACAUGUUUAAUAAGGAACUUGGAUGUGUUGUUCCAUAUGGCUGGCUUUAUAUUUUGAUUAAUUGCCUCUUAAGACUGAUUUCCAGGUUCUGUAAACGGCUACAAUCUCAAACAAUUAAGCACAUACAGUAUCAAUUGCAAACUCAAUCUGACUUUCUUAAUACGUCAUGUUGGAGAUCGCAUCCAGUUUGGAUCCAACAAAACACAUCUGCUGAAUAUUUAAAGUAUGCUUAACUAAUAUCUCUAAAUCGGUUAGGAAUAUCUAGGAAUGGAACUGAUAACAGAAUUCUCAAUCACUAUCCCCAAAACUGAAAUUGAAAUUGUGAAGAUCAUAUUAACAGAUUCAUACAUACAUGCUUCUCAAAAUUCAAACAGGAAUAAACAAAUGGAGACCAAGUUCGGUUACUAAUUACUUACCAGGUGGAAGUAAUUCUUUCAGCCGACGACAGCUCCGUUAUCAAGAGCCACGAUGUACAAAUUAACGAAGAGACAAUCUGCUAAAACAAGAAAAAAGUCGAUCAAGUCAAAUAAUGAGGGGAUAAUAGAAAACCUAAAGAGAUUGCGAGAGUUGGAGAAAGCAAUUGUAAAGUAAUAACAUCGCGAAAUCGCUUCCGGCCACCGAAUCUCUCUGCCGCGAUAAGCACUUGAAACGGUUUCCCCCUUUUGGCUUUCCCGGAACUUUUUGCAAGGGCUAUAGAUGUUUUAUAAAGGGAUAUUAACCGCCUGUUUCAUAUUGUUUAUUUG
This 1218-nucleotide long non-coding RNA is filed under the name Lactuca sativa (garden lettuce). RNAcentral's name for it is "long non-coding RNA (LSAT_LNC002033)". Lineage: Eukaryota; Viridiplantae; Streptophyta; Magnoliopsida; Asterales; Asteraceae. The record is from RNAcentral.